Molecule: ribosomal RNA, 402 nt
Filed under: bacterium
Lineage: Bacteria
Description: partial 16S ribosomal RNA
Rfam family: Bacterial small subunit ribosomal RNA
Source: RNAcentral
UGGGGAAUUUUGCACAAUGGGGGAAACCCUGAUGCAGCGACGCCGCGUGAUUUAGAAGGCCUUCGGGUUGUAAAAAUCUUUUCUAUGGGAAGAAAAUGAAAGUACCAUAGGAAUAAGGACCGGCUAAUUACGUGCCAGCAGCCGCGGUAAUACGUAAGGUCCGAGCGUUGUCCGGAAUCAUUGGGCGUAAAGGGUACGUAGGCGGGUAAGCAAGUUAGAAGUGAAAUCCUAUAGCUCAACUAUAGUAAGCUUUUAAAACUGCUCAUCUUGAGGUAUGGAAGGGAAAGUGGAAUUCCUAGUGUAGCGGUGAAAUGCGCAGAUAUUAGGAGGAAUACCGGUGGCGAAGGCGACUUUCUGGCCAUAACCUGACGCUGAGAUACGAAAGCGUGGGUAGCAAACAGG